RNAcentral lists this ribosomal RNA (468 nucleotides) under uncultured bacterium. RNAcentral describes it as "partial 16S ribosomal RNA". It matches the Rfam family "Bacterial small subunit ribosomal RNA", at positions 28 to 507 of the family's 1533-position model. The record is from RNAcentral.
GACGAACGCUGGCGGCGUGCUUAACACAUGCAAGUCGAACGGAAAGGCCCUGCUUUUGUGGGGUGCUCGAGUGGCGCACGGGUGAGUAACACGCGAGUAACCUGCCCUUGACUUUGGGAUAACUUCAGGAAACUGGGGCUAAUACCGGAUAGGAGCUCCUGCUGCAUGGUGGGGGUUGGAAAGUUUCGGCGGUUGGGGAUGGACUCGCGGCUUAUCAGCUUGUUGGUGGGGUAGUGGCUUACCAAGGCUUUGACGGGUAGCCGGCCUGAGAGGGUGACCGGCGACAUUGGGACUGAGAUACGGCCCAGACUCCUACGGGAGGCAGCAGUGGGGAAUAUUGCACAAUGGGCGGAAGCCUGAUGCAGCAACGCCGCGUGCGGGAUGACGGCCUUCGGGUUGUAAACCGCUUUCGCCUGUGACGAAGCGUGAGUGACGGUAAUGGGUAAAGAAGCACCGGCUAACUACGUG